This is a non-coding RNA of Thalictrum thalictroides, 156 nucleotides long. NCBI's taxonomy places the organism in Eukaryota, Viridiplantae, Streptophyta, Magnoliopsida, Ranunculales, Ranunculaceae. The record is from the annotation of a GenBank genome assembly.
AUGUGAAGGUCCCAGCAGAGAGAUAGGAACUCUAUUUUGAGAUCUCUCUAACAUGAAUAAUUACCCUUCGCAGAUUGAGAUCAUUAUCAGCUGUUUCGUGGGAUUCCCAAUUAGAUUACAAUUUUUGGUGUAUCUUGAACCCUCAGCUACAUUUAU